Long non-coding RNA from Rhinichthys klamathensis goyatoka, 169 nucleotides. RefSeq lists it as uncharacterized. Lineage: Eukaryota; Metazoa; Chordata; Actinopteri; Cypriniformes; Leuciscidae. The record is from RefSeq and is a predicted model, not a curated record. The transcript is spliced from 2 exons.
CCAACAGCGGUGUCAGCCAUGCAAGGCGCCAUCCAGCUCGUCGGGAGCAGCUGGGGUUAGGUGUCUUGCUCAUGGACACCUCGACACUUGGUCAGGUGGAACCAGGGAUUGAACCACCAACCUUCUGGUUUGUAGACAAUCUACAUGAACCACUGAGCCACUGCCGCCC